AUUGAACGCUAGCGGGAUGCUUUACACAUGCAAGUCGAACGAGUGGCGGACGGGAGCGUUAUAUAUCUGAACGUGCCCAGUAGCGGGGGAUAACUAGUCGAAAGAGUGGCUGAUACCGCAUAAUCAUGGAGCUGCCGAUAUCGGAUUAGCUCGUUGGUGGGGUAAAGGCUCACCAAGGCAACGAACCGUAGCUGGUUUGAGAGGACGACCAGCCACACUGGGACGGAGACACGGCCCAGACUCCUACGGGAGGCAGCAGUGGGGAAUUUUGGACAAUGGGGGAAACCCUGAUCCAGCCAUCCCGCGUGUAUGAGAAGGCCUUCGGGUUGUAAAGUACUUUUGGCAGAGAAGCGGUAUCUGCAGAAUAAGCACCGGCUAACUACGUGCCAGCAGCCGCGGUAAUUC
RNAcentral lists this ribosomal RNA (405 nucleotides) under uncultured bacterium. Its description in RNAcentral is "partial 16S ribosomal RNA". It matches the Rfam family "Bacterial small subunit ribosomal RNA", at positions 30 to 526 of the family's 1533-position model. The record is from RNAcentral.